CUAGGAAUCUUGGGAAUGGGCGAAAGCCUGACCCAGCAACGCCGCGUGGGCGAUGAAGGCCUUCGGGUCGUAAAGCCCUUUUGUGGGGGAAGAUGAUGACGGUACCCCACGAAUAAGCCACGGCUAACUACGUGCCAGCAGCCGCGGUAAUACGUAGGUGGCGAGCGUUGUCCGGAUUUACUGGGCGUAAAGGGCGUGCAGGCGGUUCGUUAAGUUCGAGGUGAAAGCUCCCGGCUCAACUGGGAGAGGUCCCCGGAUACUGGCGGACUUGAGGUAGGUAGAGGAAAGUGGAAUUCCCGGUGUAGUGGUGAUAUGCGUAGAUAUCGGGAGGAACACCAGUGGCGAAGGCGGCUUUCUGGGCCUUACCUGACGCUGAGACGCGAAAGCGUGGGGAGCGAACCGGAUUAGAUACCCGGGUAGUCCACGCCGUAAACGAUGGACACUAGGUGUGGGGGGUAUCGACCCCCUCCGUGCCGAAGCUAACGCAGUAAGUGUCCCGCCUGGGGAGUACGGCCGCAAGGCUA
This 524-nucleotide ribosomal RNA is filed under the name uncultured bacterium. RNAcentral's name for it is "bacterial SSU rRNA". It matches the Rfam family "Bacterial small subunit ribosomal RNA", at positions 355 to 896 of the family's 1533-position model. The record is from RNAcentral.